GUGGACGUUGGAGAUUUGAGGAAAGCUGCUCCUAGUACGAGAGGACCGGAGUGGACGAACCUCUGGUGUUCGGGUUGUCACGCCAGUGGCAUUGCCCGGUAGCUAUGUUCGGACAGGAUAACCGCUGAAAGCAUCUAAGCGGGAAGCCCCUUCCAAGAUGAGAUCUCCCUGGGCCCUUGAGGCCCCUGAAGAGCCGUUCAAGACUAGGACGUUGAUAGGUCGGGUGUGUAAGCGCUGCGAGGCGUUGAGCUAACCGAUACUAAUUGCUCGUGCGGCUUGACUAU
RNAcentral lists this non-coding RNA (284 nucleotides) under Marinobacter sp. AC-23. RNAcentral describes it as "Bacterial large subunit ribosomal RNA". It matches the Rfam family "Bacterial large subunit ribosomal RNA", at positions 2647 to 2925 of the family's 2925-position model. The record is from Rfam by way of RNAcentral. Lineage: Bacteria; Pseudomonadati; Pseudomonadota; Gammaproteobacteria; Pseudomonadales; Marinobacteraceae.